GUGGGAUUAGCUAGUUGGUGAGGUAAUGGCUCACCAAGGCGACGAUCCCUAGCUGUUCUGAGAGGAUGAUCAGCCACACUGGGACUGAGGCACGGCCCAGACUCCUACGGGAGGCAGCAGUGGGGAAUAUUGCACAAUGGGGGAAACCCUGAUGCAGCCAUGCCGCGUGUGUGAAGAAGGCCUUCGGGUUGUAAAGCACUUUCAGUAGGGAGGAAAGGGUGAGUCUUAAUACGGCUCAUCUGUGACGUUACCUACAGAAGAAGGACCGGCUAACUCCGUGCCAGCAGCCGCGGUAAUACGGAGGGUCCGAGCGUUAAUCGGAAUUACUGGGCGUAAAGCGUGCGCAGGCGGUUUGUUAAGCGAGAUGUGAAAGCCCUGGGCUCAACCUAGGAAUAGCAUUUCGAACUGGCGAACUAGAGUCUUGUAGAGGGGGGUAGAAUUCCAGGUGUAGCGGUGAAAUGCGUAGAGAUCUGGAGGAAUACCGGUGGCGAAGGCGGCCCCCUGGACAAAGACUGACGCUCAUGCACGAAAGCGUGGGGAGCAAACAGGAUUAGAUACCCUGGUAGUCCACGCCGUAAACGAUGUC
This 586-nucleotide ribosomal RNA is filed under the name uncultured Shewanella sp. RNAcentral's name for it is "bacterial SSU rRNA". It matches the Rfam family "Bacterial small subunit ribosomal RNA", at positions 235 to 813 of the family's 1533-position model. Lineage: Bacteria; Pseudomonadati; Pseudomonadota; Gammaproteobacteria; Alteromonadales; Shewanellaceae. The record is from RNAcentral.